RNAcentral lists this ribosomal RNA (440 nucleotides) under uncultured bacterium. Its description in RNAcentral is "partial 16S ribosomal RNA". It matches the Rfam family "Bacterial small subunit ribosomal RNA", at positions 338 to 795 of the family's 1533-position model. The record is from RNAcentral.
CCUACGGGUGGCAGCAGUGGGGGAUAUUGCACAAUGGGGGGAACCCUGAUGCAGCGACGCCGCGUGGGUGAAGAAGCGCCUCGGCGCGUAAAGCCCUUUCAGCAGGGAAGAAAAUGACGGUACCUGAAGAAGAAGCCCCGGCUAACUACGUGCCAGCAGCCGCGGUAAUAGGUAGGGGGCAAGCGUUAUCCGGAUUUACGGGGUGUAAAGGGGGCGCAGACGGCGAUGCAAGCCAGGAGUGAAAGCCCGGGGCCCAACCCCGGGACUGCUCUUGGAACUGCGUGGCUGGAGUGCAGGAGGGGCAGGCGGAAUUCGUGGUGUAGCGGUGAAAUGCGUAGAUAUUAGGAGGAACACCAGUGGCGAAGGCGGCAUGCUGGGCUUUUACUGACGCUGAGGCUCGAAAGUGUGGGGAGCAAACAGGAUUAGAUACCCUUGUAGUC